Molecule: ribosomal RNA, 447 nt
Filed under: Neisseria sicca
Lineage: Bacteria; Pseudomonadati; Pseudomonadota; Betaproteobacteria; Neisseriales; Neisseriaceae
Description: bacterial SSU rRNA
Rfam family: Bacterial small subunit ribosomal RNA
Source: RNAcentral
AUUGAACGCUGGCGGCAUGCUUUACACAUGCAAGUCGGACGGCAGCACAGAGAAGCCUGCUUCUUGGGUGGCGAGUGGCGAACGGGUGAGUAAUAUAUCGGAACGUACCGGGCAGUGGGGGAUAACUAAUCGAAAGAUUAGCUAAUACCGCAUAUCUUCUGAGGAAGAAAGCAGGGGACCAUUUGGCCUUGCGCUGUUUGAGCGGCCGAUAUCUGAUUAGCUAGUUGGUGGGGUAAAGGCCUACCAAGGCGACGAUCAGUAGCGGGUCUGAGAGGAUGAUCCGCCACACUGGGACUGAGACACGGCCCAGACUCCUACGGGAGGCAGCAGUGGGGAAUUUUGGACAAUGGGCGCAAGCCUGAUCCAGCCAUGCCGCGUGUCUGAAGAAGGCCUUCGGGUUGUAAAGGACUUUUGUCAGGGAAGAAAAGGGCGGGGUUAAUACCCCUG